RNAcentral lists this ribosomal RNA (104 nucleotides) under uncultured bacterium. RNAcentral describes it as "partial 16S ribosomal RNA". It matches the Rfam family "Bacterial small subunit ribosomal RNA", at positions 1379 to 1482 of the family's 1533-position model. The record is from RNAcentral.
CCUUGUACACACCGCCCGUCACACCAUGGGAGUGGGUUGUACCAGAAGUAGGUAGCUUAACCUUCGGGAGGGCGCUUACCACGGUAUGAUUCAUGACUGGGGUG